RNAcentral lists this ribosomal RNA (256 nucleotides) under uncultured bacterium. RNAcentral describes it as "partial 16S ribosomal RNA". It matches the Rfam family "Bacterial small subunit ribosomal RNA", at positions 524 to 776 of the family's 1533-position model. The record is from RNAcentral.
UACGUAGGGUGCAAGCGUUGUCCGGAAUUAUUGGGCGUAAAGAGCUCGUAGGCGGUUUGUCGCGUCUGCUGUGAAAUCUGGAGGCUCAACCUCCAGCCUGCAGUGGGGUACGGGGCAGACUAGAGUGCGGUAGGGGAGAUUGGAACUCCUGGUGUAGCGGUGGAAUGCGCAGAUAUCAGGAGGAACACCGGUGGCGAAGGCGGCUCACUGGCUCAUUACUGACGCUCGAGGCGCGAUAGCGUGGGGAUCAAACAGG